Molecule: ribosomal RNA, 738 nt
Filed under: uncultured bacterium
Lineage: Bacteria
Description: bacterial SSU rRNA
Rfam family: Bacterial small subunit ribosomal RNA
Source: RNAcentral
GACGAACGCUGGCGGCGUGCCUAAUGCAUGCAAGUCGAGCGACGCAUGCCUGGUUCGUAAGAACCGGGUAUGACGGAGCGGCGAACGGGUGAGUAACACGUGAGCAACCUGCCCCGAAGACCGGGAUAGCCCAGGGAAACCUGGAUUAAUACCGGAUACCCUCGGACUCCCGCAUGGGAGAUCGAGGAAAAGCUUUUGUGCUUCGGGAUGGGCUCGCGGCCUAUCAGCUUGUUGGUGGGGUAACGGCCUACCAAGGCAUCGACGGGUAGCUGGUCUGAGAGGACGAUCAGCCACACUGGGACUGAGACACGGCCCAGACUCCUACGGGAGGCAGCAGCAGGGAAUCUUGCGCAAUGGGCGAAAGCCUGACGCAGCAACGCCGCGUGGGGGAUGACGGCCUCGGGUUGUAAACCCCUUUCAGGAGGGAAGAAAUUGACGGUACCUCCAGAAGAAGCCCCGGCCAACUACGUGCCAGCAGCCGCGGUAAUACGUAGGGGGCGAGCGUUGUCCGGAAUUAUUGGGCGUAAAGAGCUCGUAGGCGGCUCAGCAAGUCGGCGGUGAAAUCCCGAGGCUCAACCUCGGAACUGCCGUCGAUACUGCUGUGGCUAGAAUCUGGUAGAGGAGAAUGGAAUUCCGGUGUAGCGGUGAAAUGCGCAGAUAUCGGGAGGAACACCAGUAGCGAAGGCGGUUCUCUGGGCCAGUACUGACGCUGAGGAGCGAAAGCGUGGGGAGCAAACA